Molecule: transfer RNA, 74 nt
Filed under: Brevibora cheeya
Lineage: Eukaryota; Metazoa; Chordata; Actinopteri; Cypriniformes; Danionidae
Description: tRNA-Leu
Rfam family: tRNA
About the family: Transfer RNA (tRNA) molecules are approximately 80 nucleotides in length.
Source: RNAcentral
GCUAGGGUGGCAGAGCUUGGUAAUUGCAAAAGGCCUAAGCCCUUUUAACAGAGGUUCAAGUCCUCUCCCUAGUU